GUUAUUUUGGGCAGUGCAUCUGGACUUGGUUCAAGUGGCACCAGCCAAAUCCCUGCCUUACUGACCUCUCCCCUGGAGGAGCAGGAGCAGCGCUCAAGGCCGCCUUGGGAGGGCUGAGAGGCAGGCUCUGGACUGGGGACACAGGGAUAGCUGAGCCCCAGCUGGGGGUGGAAGCUGAGCCAGAGACAGUCACAGAGGAACAAGAUCAAGAUGCGCUUUAACUGAGAAGCCCCCAAGGCAGAGGCUGAGAAUCAGAAGACAUUUCAGCAGACAUCUACAAAUCUGAAGGACAAAACAUGGUUCAAGCAUCUGGGCACAGGCGAACAUACAUAUGAUAGUUGAGAAAGACACAUAUUCUGAUCAUGAAGAAAUAAACACAAGUUAAAUAUGACUAAGCAGAAAGAUGGAAGGACCAGGAACGGUGAUGCUAACUUGGAACCACGAUGCAGGCUCUAAACUCCUCUACAAUCAUCCUCCCUUGUGAGAAAAAUACGGCUGCCGCAGUUUGCUGGGGGUCCACUCCAGACCCUAUUCACUUGGUCCCUCCCCUACCUGGAGGUGUCACCAGUGGAAGCUGCAGAACAGCAAGGAUGGCUGCCUGCUCCUUCUUUUUUGAGCUCCAUCCCAGAGGGGCACUGAUGUGAUGCCAGCAGGAACACUCCUGUAUAAGAUAAGAUCUAAGGCACAUGAGAUGAUAUGCUUUCUGUUUGAGUUUCUCCUUUAUGUUACGCAUACUGAUAAAAUUGUUGAUGCCAGUUGAUCUGAAGGUCCCAGCAAGGAGCCGACUCACAGAAGAAUGCAGUUUUCACAUCAUGAUGAUUUAAUCUUCCUUGACCUGAGCAAUUGACAACCCCAAUUCUCCAGAACCUCACCCGCCACAAUCCCCUUAAAAACCCUGGCCCAGAACCCCUCAAGCAGACAGAUGUGAAGCUUGAGGAUUCCUUCAUCUCUUUGCCCAAUGGCAUUGUGAUUAUUAAACUCUUUUUCUGCUGCAAAUUAUGAUGUCUC
This 1008-nucleotide long non-coding RNA is filed under the name Homo sapiens (human). RNAcentral's name for it is "HSALNT0352488". Lineage: Eukaryota; Metazoa; Chordata; Mammalia; Primates; Hominidae. The record is from RNAcentral.